GUUAACAGUGGGCCAUCAGCUGGGGUACAUGGUAGGAGGAAAAGGUUGUCCGGGGUGACUGGGCGUGAAGGGCGGUCAGGAGGGCAGUGGGGUUCCGGUGGAAGGAUCCGAGCGAAACUCGGAGAGGUUCCGGAAAACGGGCUGGCUUGAGCGGCGGAGAGGGGCAUGGAACUCCGGGUGGAGCGGUGAAAUGCGUAGAGAUCCGGAAGAACACCAAUGGCGAAGGCAGUGCCCUGGCCGACUGCUGACGCUCAGGCGCGAAAGCGUGGGGAGCAAACAGGAUUAGAUACUCGAGUAGUC
RNAcentral lists this ribosomal RNA (300 nucleotides) under uncultured Pyrodictium sp. Its description in RNAcentral is "bacterial SSU rRNA". It matches the Rfam family "Bacterial small subunit ribosomal RNA", at positions 496 to 795 of the family's 1533-position model. Lineage: Archaea; Thermoproteati; Thermoproteota; Thermoprotei; Desulfurococcales; Pyrodictiaceae. The record is from RNAcentral.